GCAUAUCAAUAAGCGGAGGAAAAGAAACCCAACAGGGAUUGCCCCAGUAACGGCGAGUGAAGCGGCAACAGCUCAAAUUUGAAAUCUGGCUUCGGCCCGAGUUGUAAUUUGCAGAGGAAGCUUUAGGCGCGGCACCAUCUGAGUCCCCUGGAACGGGGCGCCACAGAGGGUGAGAGCCCCGUAUAGAUGGACGCCUAGCCUGUGUAAAGCUCCUUCGACGAGUCGAGUAGUUUGGGAAUGCUGCUCUAAAUGGGAGGUAAAUUUCUUCUAAAGCUAAAUACCGGCCAGAGACCGAUAGCGCACAAGUAGAGUGAUCGAAAGAUGAAAAGCACUUUGAAAAGAGGGUUAAAUAGCACGUGAAAUUGUUGAAAAGGGAAGCGCUUGUGACCAGACUUGCGCCGGGCGGAUCAUCCGGUGUUCUCACCGGUGCACUCCGCCCGGCUCAGGCCAGCAUCGGUUCUCGUGGGGGGACAAAGGUCCCGGGAACGUAGCUCCUCCGGGAGUGUUAUAGCCCGGGGCGUAAUGCCCUCGCGGGGACCGAGGACCGCGCUUCGGCAAGGAUGCUGGCGUAAUGGUCAUCAGCGACCCGUCUUGAAACACGGACCAAGGAGUCAAGGUUUUGCGCGAGUGUUUGGGUGUAAAACCCGCACGCGUAAUGAAAGUGAACGUAGGUGAGAGCUUCGGCGCAUCAUCGACCGAUCCUGAUGUUUUCGGAUGGAUUUGAGUAGGAGCGUUAAGCCUUGGACCCGAAAGAUGGUGAACUAUGCUUGGAUAGGGUGAAGCCAGAGGAAACUCUGGUGGAGGCUCGCAGCGGUUCUGACGUGCAAAUCGAUCGUCAAAUCUGAGCAUGGGGGCGAAAGACUAAUCGAACCAUCUAGUAGCUGGUUACCGCCGAAG
Molecule: ribosomal RNA, 897 nt
Filed under: Botryotrichum murorum
Lineage: Eukaryota; Fungi; Ascomycota; Sordariomycetes; Sordariales; Chaetomiaceae
Description: LSU rRNA
Rfam family: Eukaryotic large subunit ribosomal RNA
Source: RNAcentral